Molecule: RNA transcript, 5796 nt
Organism: Ficedula albicollis (Collared flycatcher)
Lineage: Eukaryota; Metazoa; Chordata; Aves; Passeriformes; Muscicapidae
Gene: SLC4A4
Gene name: solute carrier family 4 member 4
Exons: 27
Source: RefSeq, a predicted model, not a curated record
GAUGGAGGACGAGGCAGUACUGGAUAGAGGGGCUUCCUUCCUUAAACAUGUAUGUGAUGAAGAAGAAGUGGAAGGUCACCACACCAUUUACAUCGGGGUCCACGUGCCGAAGAGCUACAGGCGGAGGAGGCGUCACAGAAGAAGACCUGGGCACAAAGAAAAGAAAGAAAAGGAGAAAAUCUCGGAGAACUACUCAGACAAAUCAGACGUAGAAAACGCUGAUGAGACAAGCAGCAGCAUCCUUAAACCACUCAUCUCCCCCGCCGCCGAGCGCAUCCGCUUCAUCCUGGGAGAGGAGGAUGACAGCCCCGCGCCCCCGCAGCUCUUCACCGAGCUGGACGAGCUUCUGGCUGUCGAUGGACAGGAGAUGGAGUGGAAGGAGACUGCAAGGUGGAUCAAGUUUGAGGAGAAGGUGGAACAAGGUGGGGAGCGAUGGAGCAAACCGCACGUGGCCACCUUGUCCCUGCACAGCCUGUUUGAGCUGAGGACCUGCAUAGAGAAGGGCUCCAUCAUGCUGGAUAUGGAGGCCUCUUCCCUCCCACAGGUGGUGGAGAUGAUCGUGGACAAUCAGAUCGAGACGGGGCUGCUGAAGUCGGAGCUGAAGGACAAGGUCACCUACACGCUGCUCAGGAAGCACCGGCACCAGACCAAGAAAUCCAACCUGCGCUCGCUGGCCGACAUUGGAAAGACCGUCUCCAGUGCAAGUAGGAUGUUUUCCAACCCCGAUAAUGCACGCAGCCCGCUCGAGAGCUCCGUGCCCUGCCUGGCCACGCGCACGCUGGACGAUGAACUGGGAGUGCAGCGCAGCCCCAGCGUGGGAUGGCUCAGCAGCCCAGCCAUGGCUCACCGAAACCUGACUUCCACCAGCCUCAACGACAUCUCGGACAAGCCUGAGAAGGACCAGCUGAAGAACAAAUUCAUGAAGAAGCUGCCCCGUGACGCGGAGGCCUCCAACGUGCUGGUCGGGGAGGUGGAUUUCCUGGAGAGCCCCUUCAUUGCCUUUGUGCGGCUGCAGCAGGCGGUCAUGCUGGGAGCUCUCACCGAGGUCCCUGUUCCCACACGAUUUCUCUUCAUUCUGCUGGGACCAAAGGGCAAAGCCAAGUCCUAUCAUGAGAUCGGCCGAGCCAUUGCCACGCUGAUGUCGGAUGAGGUGUUCCAUGACAUUGCCUACAAAGCCAAGGACCGUCAGGACCUGAUUGCAGGCAUCGAUGAAUUUCUGGAUGAAGUCAUUGUGCUCCCCCCUGGGGAAUGGGAUCCAGCCAUUAGGAUAGAGCCCCCCAAGUCUCUCCCUUCUUCAGAUAAGAGGAAGAACAUGUACUCGGGCGGGGAGAACGUGCAGAUGAACGGGGACCCCCCCCACGACGGGGGGCACGGCGGCGGCGGCCACGGCGACUGCGAGGAGCUGCAGCGGACGGGCAGAUUCUGUGGGGGCUUGAUCAAAGACAUCAAGAGGAAAGCUCCGUUCUUCGCCAGCGACUUCUACGACGCUUUAAACAUCCAGGCCCUCUCAGCCAUCCUCUUCAUCUACCUGGCCACUGUCACCAAUGCCAUCACUUUUGGGGGACUGCUUGGGGAUGCUACGGAGAACAUGCAGGGCGUGUUGGAGAGCUUCCUGGGCACGGCUGUCACCGGUGCCAUAUUCUGCCUUCUGGCUGGUCAGCCCCUCACCAUCCUGAGCAGCACAGGGCCCGUCCUGGUCUUUGAGCGGCUCCUCUUCAACUUCAGCAAGGACAAUGGCUUUGACUACCUGGAGUUCCGCCUCUGGAUCGGCCUCUGGUCAGCCUUCCAGUGUCUCAUCCUCGUGGCCACCGACGCCAGCUUCCUGGUCAAGUACUUCACCCGCUUCACCGAGGAAGGCUUCUCUUCCCUGAUCAGCUUCAUCUUCAUUUAUGAUGCUUUCAAGAAGAUGAUCAAGCUGGCAGAUCAUUAUCCCAUCAACUCCCAGUUCAAGGUGGACUAUAUCACACAUUACUCUUGUGCCUGUAAACCACUAGAUCCAGUUAAUAGCUCAUUACUUAACAGGACAACGGUGCUGUCAGAUGAUGAGCUGGUCUCUCCCUCCUCUGAGCUGGACAACACCACCAUUGACUGGGCAGCUCUGACAGCCAAGGAGUGCUUGAAGUAUGGGGGUCAGCUGGUGGGCAACAACUGUGACUAUGUCCCUGACAUCACCCUCAUGUCUUUCAUCCUCUUCUUUGGCACCUACACCUGCUCCAUGGCCCUGAAGAAAUUCAAGACCAGUCGCUACUUUCCCACCACUGCCCGGAAGCUCAUCAGUGACUUUGCCAUUAUCCUGUCCAUUUUGAUUUUCUGUGGAAUAGAUGCCCUGGUUGGUGUGGACACACCAAAACUAAUCGUGCCAAGUGAAUUCAAGCCAACCAGUCCCGAGAGGGGCUGGUUCAUCCCACCUUUUGGAGGGAACCCGUGGUGGGUGUACCUGGCAGCUGCCAUCCCUGCCCUGCUGGUGACCAUCCUCAUCUUCAUGGACCAGCAGAUCACCGCCGUCAUCGUCAACAGGAAGGAGCACAAGCUCAAGAAAGGUGCUGGAUAUCAUCUGGAUUUGUUCUGGGUGGCCAUCCUGAUGAUUGUCUGCUCCUUUAUGGGGCUGCCCUGGUACGUGGCUGCUACCGUCAUCUCCAUCGCUCACAUCGACAGCUUGAAGAUGGAGACGGAGACUUCGGCCCCCGGAGAGCAGCCCAAGUUUUUGGGAGUGAGGGAGCAGAGAGUCACUGGAGUCAUUGUUUUCAUCCUGACCGGGGUGUCUGUCUUCAUGGCUCCCAUCCUGAAGUUCAUUCCCAUGCCUGUGCUCUACGGUGUCUUCCUCUACAUGGGAGUUGCAUCCCUCAACGGCGUGCAGUUCAUGGAUCGUCUGAAGCUGCUCUUGAUGCCUCUAAAACACCAGCCUGACUUUAUCUACCUGCGCCACGUGCCGCUGCGCAGGGUCCACCUCUUCACCUUCCUGCAGGUGGUGUGCCUGGCCCUCCUCUGGAUCCUCAAAUCCACCGUGGCUGCUAUCAUAUUCCCUGUCAUGAUCUUGGCCCUGGUGGCAGUCAGAAAAGCCAUGGACUACCUCUUUUCCCAGCAUGACUUAAGCUUUCUUGACGACGUCAUUCCAGAAAAGGACAAGAAGAAGAAAGAGGAUGAGAAGAAGAAGAAAAAGAAGAAGGGCAGUAUGGACAGUGACAAUGAUGAUUCUGACUGCCCCUACUCAGAAAAAGUCCCAAGUAUUAAAAUACCAAUGGACAUCAUGGAGCAGGAACCUUUCCUAAGUGAUAGCAAACCUGCUGACAGAGAAAAAUCACCAACAUUCCUUGAACGCCACACAUCGUGCUGAUACAAUUCCCUUCCUUCAAUCACACGCCAUGCCAAGCCCUCCACGAACUCCAGUAAAAGCUGUGCCUCAAAUUAGAAUAGAACUUGAGCCUGAAGACAAUGGUUAUUUCUGGAGGAGCAAGGGAACAGAAACUACUUUGUAAUUUGUCUGUCUGUCCAAUCUUUUCCAAAUUCCCUUUGUCACUAGCCAAAUGCUCAGAAGCUCCCUGUUCCGCCGGCGACGGUGACUGAGCCUCCCGCUGCCCCUCCCUGCCCUGCCCAGGACUGGGAAUCGCCUUCCCUGGCUCCCCAAGCAGCGAGGGAGGAGCGCUUCGGAUGUCACCUCCCCCGGGAAUGCCCGAGGCACCGGCUCCUGUCAGCCAGCCUUUGUCUGGCAGAGCAGAGCUGACCUCCAGGCUGGUUCCGUGUCUGCUCCCCCAUGCUGGAACGUGCUGCUAACCCUCAGCGCUCCCACCUGUAGCUAAAAGAGAAGGUACUUCACUCCCAGCACAGACAGACCAUUGCCAUCGCUGUAGCAUGUUUGGAAAUGUCCCUUUCCUAUGCAAUUUUUUUUUAAAGAAACACUUUAAUGGACUUAAUCUGUCAGGUACAUGGAAGAGUGUUAUUUUCCUAGAUUAUUUUGUUUAAAUUAUGGGGGCCUAACCUAUGACUUCUUUUUUUUUUUUUUUUGACAAUUUUUUAACCUUUUUUUAAUUACUGUAAAGAAAAAUGAAUUUUUUUCCUGCAGCAGGAAACGUAUAGUUAUGAGUAGUUCUACCUCUUAUUUCUAGAUGCCAGGCUUUCUGUAAAAAAAUGUAUUGUACCAUAUAUAAUGUGAUUUUUACAAAAAACAAACCCACGACAUCACACCACAAUCUCCAGGACGUGGCAUAGGGCUGGAUCAGUUCCAUUAACACCUUCUGCUCCGAAGCAUCUGUUUCUCUUAGGGUUAUGUUGGUUUUUGAAGUUUUUUUUUUUAUUGAGCAAUCCCUGCUGUGAAGGAGACUUAAAUCUCUUGUGAUCUUAGAAGAGUCUUCAAGGGGUGGUUGGUCCAACGCCGCAGACGGAUGCUGGUUGUAUCCCUGUUGUUGACUGCUGACGUGGGAUCCCUCCGUGAUUUUCUUGGAACGCCGGUGUGCGUGUGCAGUGAGAGGACCCGAGGUGUGCCUCAGGCACAGUGGACAAGGAGGAAGAUGAAGGUGGCCUGCUGGGAUGUUCAUCCUGACACCUGGAUUCACAAACUUCUGCAUCCUCCUGCAUCCCAUCAUCAUCUACAGAAUUUACCCUAAACCCCGGCUACUCAGCCCCAGAGCCGGCAGUGCAGCAAGAUAAGCGGGCCAGGCAAUGGACAUCCCAGGAUUUUGGGGUGGAACCAAGCGAGUGAACAUCACAGCAGGAGAGAGGAUUUUCCAGCAUGUUAAUAGUGGUAUGUGCAUCUACACAUGCAUCUGGGAAAUUUGGCUUCACCAGGACAUGAGGGAACACACUAAAAGCUUCAUCUAAAAAUGCAAAACAAGACAAGAAGAAAGAGUACCCCAGCUCUUGAGGUGGAUUCCCCAAUGGAGACAAUCCCAUCACAGAGGAUGGGCACAGGCUGCCACUUGGUCCUUGCAAAACCAAAGUCUGGGUUGGUGAAGUCAAGAGGAUUUUCUGAUGGUGCUGAGACCUCAAAUGCCAAAUUUUAGCAUCUGCUCCCACACAGGAGCCACCACCUCUGUACAGCCCCCGCUCGCUGUCCAGGGGUCUCCCCUUCAGUUUCCAUGACAUCUGUGUUGGGUGUCCCAGGAGCCCUGGGGUAUUUCCAGGCUGAAACCUGCUCUGAAAAUGCUGGGGAGACUUGGGAAAGGCCUGAAGAGGAGCAGCUUUGGGAUCCCUUCUGCUGCCAGAGGACAGCGCUGCCGACAGGACCGAGGGUUCUGCAGCUUUCCACGAGAAACACCCACCUGUGGCAGCAGGGAGGAGCCUGCAGCGUGACAGGGACAGGUUCUCUGCAGGCCGUACGCCUUGGCAAAGAACCGGAACGGCCUUUCAACCCUAAUUAGGUAUUUUGUCAGAAAAGCCUGGGUGGGCGCUUCAGGGUGUAAGUGUGGAGACUGACCCAGAGCCCUCCGAGAUCAGAGGCGGCCGUCAAAAACCACCUUCCCCAGCAGAGGCAGGGUCCAGCUCGGGGUGGGACGGGGGCGCGCUGCCCUCCCCGGGGCUCCCGCCCUUGGCAGCUGCAGCGAACCGAGCGCACUUGGAGAUACUCUCAUUGUUGGCUUGGAUUCCUGCGAGUCCUGUUUGCUUCGGAGGAGAGAAAUGAAAUGAAAUGAAGUGGAUCAGAUGGUGGAACUAAAAGGAAAAAAGCAGAAAACAUUUCAAACGUAUUAAAGUGAUUUUUUUUUUCCAGUAAUAUAAAACAUGAAAUUCCUUAUAACAUUAUAGUAUUUUACAGUUUUAUGAAGCUUUCUAUUGUGACUUUUAUGGAAUCAAAAGAUGAAGAUG